Molecule: non-coding RNA, 27 nt
Filed under: Homo sapiens (human)
Lineage: Eukaryota; Metazoa; Chordata; Mammalia; Primates; Hominidae
Source: RNAcentral
CGCCAAAGGAUAGAACCGUCAGGGGCC